This 510-nucleotide ribosomal RNA is filed under the name uncultured Glomus. Its description in RNAcentral is "SSU rRNA". It matches the Rfam family "Eukaryotic small subunit ribosomal RNA", at positions 569 to 1081 of the family's 1831-position model. Lineage: Eukaryota; Fungi; Glomeromycota; Glomeromycetes; Glomerales; Glomeraceae. The record is from RNAcentral.
AGCAGCCGCGGUAAUUCCAGCUCCAAUAGCGUAUAUUAAAGUUGUUGCAGUUAAAAAGCUCGUAGUUGAAUUUCGAGAUCAGUACGCUGGUCGUGCCUUCGGUAUGCACUGGUGUCACUGGUUUCUCCCUUCUGAAGAACCGUCAUGCCAUUCAGUUGGUGUGGCGGGGAAUCAGGACUGUUACUUUGAAAAAAUUAGAGUGUUUAAAGCAGGCUCGCGCUUGAAUACAUUAGCAUGGAAUAAUGAAAUAGGACGUUUGACCCUAUUUUGUUGGUUUCUAGGAUCGACGUAAUGAUUAAUAGGGAUAGUUGGGGGCAUUAGUAUUCAAUUGUCAGAGGUGAAAUUCUUGGAUUUAUUGAAGACUAACUACUGCGAAAGCAUUUGCCAAGGAUGUUUUCAUUAAUCAAGAACGAAAGUUAGGGGAUCGAAGACGAUCAGAUACCGUCGUAGUCUUAACCAUAAACUAUGCCGACUAGGGAUCGGAUGAUGUUAAUUUUUAAUGACUCAUUC